RNAcentral lists this ribosomal RNA (122 nucleotides) under Enterococcus faecium. RNAcentral's name for it is "partial 23S ribosomal RNA". It matches the Rfam family "Bacterial large subunit ribosomal RNA", at positions 2806 to 2925 of the family's 2925-position model. The record is from RNAcentral. Lineage: Bacteria; Bacillati; Bacillota; Bacilli; Lactobacillales; Enterococcaceae.
GAGAUUUCCCAUUUCUUUAAGAAAGUAAGAUCCCUGAGAGAUGAUCAGGUAGAUAGGUCAGGAGUGGAAGUACAGUGAUGUAUGGAGCGGACUGAUACUAAUCGAUCGAGGACUUAACCAAU